This 745-nucleotide ribosomal RNA is filed under the name uncultured bacterium. Its description in RNAcentral is "bacterial SSU rRNA". It matches the Rfam family "Bacterial small subunit ribosomal RNA", at positions 8 to 796 of the family's 1533-position model. The record is from RNAcentral.
AGAGUUUGAUCCUGGCUCAGAACGAACGCUGGCGGCAGGCUUAACACAUGCAAGUCGAACGCGUGUAGCAAUACACGAGUGGCGCACGGGUGAGUAACACGUGGAUUAUCUGCCUUUUGGUUCGGAAUAACCCCGGGAAACUGGGGCUAAUACCGGAUGGUUCCUUCGGGAUAAAGAUUUAUCGCCAAAAGAUGAGUCCGCGUCCGAUUAGCUAGUUGGCGGGGUAACGGCCCACCAAGGCAACGAUCGGUAGCUGGUCUGAGAGGACGAUCAGCCACACUGGGACUGAGACACGGCCCAGACUCCUACGGGAGGCAGCAGUGGGGAAUAUUGGACAAUGGGGGCAACCCUGAUCCAGCCAUGCCGCGUGAGCGAUGAAGGCCUUCGGGUUGUAAAGCUCUUUUGGCGGGGACGAUGAUGACGGUACCCGCAGAAUAAGCCCCGGCUAACUUCGUGCCAGCAGCCGCGGUAAGACGAAGGGGGCUAGCGUUGUUCGGAAUUACUGGGCGUAAAGCGCGUGUAGGCGGUUGCCCAAGUCGGGUGUGAAAGCCUUGAGCUCAACUCAAGAAUUGCACUCGGUACUGGGUGGCUAGAGGACCGGAGAGGAUAGUGGAAUUCCCAGUGUAGUGGUGAAAUACGUAGAGAUUGGGAAGAACACCAGUGGCGAAGGCGGCUAUCUGGACGGUUUCUGACGCUAAGACGCGAAAGCGUGGGGAGCAAACAGGAUUAGAUACCCUAGUAGUCC